RNAcentral lists this non-coding RNA (25 nucleotides) under Rattus norvegicus (Norway rat). Lineage: Eukaryota; Metazoa; Chordata; Mammalia; Rodentia; Muridae. The record is from RNAcentral.
UGGGUAUUAUCCUUGCUGCGGUGUU